RNAcentral lists this ribosomal RNA (411 nucleotides) under uncultured bacterium. RNAcentral's name for it is "bacterial SSU rRNA". It matches the Rfam family "Bacterial small subunit ribosomal RNA", at positions 56 to 513 of the family's 1533-position model. The record is from RNAcentral.
UGCAAGUCGCGCGGUCAGCAAUGGCAGCGGCGGACGGGUGCGUAACGCGUAGGAACGUGUCUUGAGGUGGGGGACAACCCUGGGAAACUGGGGCUAAUACCGCAUAUGGGCUGAGGCCCAAAGCCGUGAGGCGCCUUUGGAGCGGCCUGCGUCCGAUUAGCUAGUUGGUGGGGUAAAGGCCUACCAAGGCUCCGAUCGGUAGCUGGUCUGAGAGGACGAUCAGCCACACUGGGACUGAGACACGGCCCAGACUCCUACGGGAGGCAGCAGUGGGGAAUAUUGGACAAUGGGCGCAAGCCUGAUCCAGCAAUGCCGCGUGGGUGAAGAAGGUCUUCGGAUCGUAAAGCCCUUUCGACAGGGACGAUGAUGACGGUACCUGUAGAAGAAGCCCCGGCUAACUUCGUGCCAGCA